Molecule: ribosomal RNA, 601 nt
Filed under: uncultured bacterium
Lineage: Bacteria
Description: bacterial SSU rRNA
Rfam family: Bacterial small subunit ribosomal RNA
Source: RNAcentral
CCUACGGGAGGCAGCAGUGGGGAAUAUUGGACAAUGGGCGGAAGCCUGAUCCAGCAACGCCGCGUGAGGGAUGACGGCCUUCGGGUUGUAAACCUCUUUCAGCACAGACGAAGCGCAAGUGACGGUAUGUGCAGAAGAAGGACCGGCCAACUACGUGCCAGCAGCCGCGGUAAUACGUAGGGUCCGAGCGUUGUCCGGAAUUAUUGGGCGUAAAGGGCUCGUAGGCGGUUUGUCGCGUCGGGAGUGAAAACACCGGGCUUAACUCGGUGCUUGCUUUCGAUACGGGCAGACUAGAGGCAUUCAGGGGAGAACGGAAUUCCUGGUGUAGCGGUGAAAUGCGCAGAUAUCAGGAGGAACACCGGUGGCGAAGGCGGUUCUCUGGGAAUGUCCUGACGCUGAGGAGCGAAAGUGUGGGGUAGCGGAACAGGAUUAGAUACCCUGGUAGUCCACACCGUAAACGUUGGGCGCUAGGUGUGGGGUUCCAUUCCACGGGAUUCCGUGCCGCAGCUAACGCAUUAAGCGCCCCGCCUGGGGAUCGGCCGCAAGGCUAAAACGUCAAAUGAAUUGACGGCUGAAGCCGNGCGAGCGACGACGAGGAGAG